CAGUAGCCGCGGGAAUACGUAGGUGGCGAGCGUUGUCCGGAAUUAUUGGGCGUAAAGGGAGCGCAGGCGGACAUAUAAGUCCAUCUUAAAAGUGCGGGGCUCAACCCCGUGAGGGGAUGGAAACUGUAUGCCUUGAGUGCAGGAGAGGAAAGCGGAAUUCCCAGUGUAGCGGUGAAAUGCGUAGAUAUUGGGAGGAACACCAGUGGCGAAGGCGGCUUUCUGGACUGUAACUGACGCUGAGGCUCGAAAGCGUGGGGAGCGAACAGGAUUAGAUACCCGAGUAGUCCCUGUCUCUUAUACC
RNAcentral lists this ribosomal RNA (301 nucleotides) under uncultured bacterium. Its description in RNAcentral is "partial 16S ribosomal RNA". It matches the Rfam family "Bacterial small subunit ribosomal RNA", at positions 509 to 808 of the family's 1533-position model. The record is from RNAcentral.